CUACGCACUCCUACGGGAGGCAGCAGUGGGGAAUAUUGCACAAUGGGCGCUAAGCCUGAUGCAGCCAUGCCGCGUGUAUGAAGAAGGCCUUCGGGUUGUAAAGUACUUUCAGCAGUGAGGAAGGUGGGUAUGUUAAUAGCAUAUUCAUUUGACGUUAGCUGCAGAAGAAGCACCGGCUAACUCCGUGCCAGCAGCCGCGGUAAUACGGAGGGUGCGAGCGUUAAUCGGAAUUACUGGGCGUAAAGCGCAUGCAGGUGGUUUGUUAAGUCAGAUGUGAAAGCCCGGGGCUCAACCUCGGAAUUGCAUUUGAAACUGGCAAACUAGAGUACUGUAGAGGGGGUAGAAUUUCAGGUGUAGCGGUGAAAUGCGUAGAGAUCUGAAGGAAUACCGGUGGCGAAGGCGGCCCCCUGGACAGAUACUGACACUCAGAUGCGAAAGCGUGGGGAGCAAACAGGAUUAGAUACCCUGGUAG
This 472-nucleotide ribosomal RNA is filed under the name uncultured bacterium. Its description in RNAcentral is "bacterial SSU rRNA". It matches the Rfam family "Bacterial small subunit ribosomal RNA", at positions 329 to 793 of the family's 1533-position model. The record is from RNAcentral.